CAAUAGCGUAUAUUAAAGUUGUUGCGGUUAAAAAGCUCGUAGUUGGAUCUCGGCAGGCAGGGGGUGGUUCGCUCUUAGCGCUACUGCCCCAUUUGCCUGUGUGAUUGGCGGAGGUUUCGGGGUGCUCUUCGUUGAGUGACCCGGGGCGCCGUCAGGUUUACUUUGAAAAAAUUAGAGUGCUCAAAGCAGGCUUUUCACGCUUGAAUAUUCGUGCAUGGAAUAAUGGAAUAGGAACUCGUUUCUAUUUUGUUGGUUUUCGGAAAUCGAGUUAAUGAUUAAUAGGGACAAUUGGGGGCAUUAGUAUUCAGACGACGGAGGUGAAAUUCUUGGACCGUCUGAAGACUAACUACUGCGAAAGCAUUUGCCAAGAGUGUUUUCAUUAA
Molecule: ribosomal RNA, 383 nt
Filed under: uncultured eukaryote
Lineage: Eukaryota
Description: partial 18S ribosomal RNA
Rfam family: Eukaryotic small subunit ribosomal RNA
Source: RNAcentral